CCUGAGAAACGGCUACCACAUCNNNNNNNNNCAGCAGGCGCGCAAAUUACCCACUCCCGGCACGGGGAGGUAGUGACGAAAAAUAACGAUACGGGACUCAUCCGAGGCCCCGUAAUCGGAAUGAGCACAACUUAAAUACUUUAGCGAGUAUCCAUUGGAGGGCAAGUCUGGUGCCAGCAGCCGCGGUAAUUCCAGCUCCAAUAGCGUAUGAUUAAAGUUGUUGCGGUU
RNAcentral lists this ribosomal RNA (228 nucleotides) under Agnetina sp. WCW-2001. RNAcentral's name for it is "partial small subunit ribosomal RNA". It matches the Rfam family "Eukaryotic small subunit ribosomal RNA", at positions 395 to 620 of the family's 1831-position model. Lineage: Eukaryota; Metazoa; Arthropoda; Insecta; Plecoptera; Perlidae. The record is from RNAcentral.